Molecule: long non-coding RNA, 735 nt
Filed under: Lactuca sativa (garden lettuce)
Lineage: Eukaryota; Viridiplantae; Streptophyta; Magnoliopsida; Asterales; Asteraceae
Description: long non-coding RNA (LSAT_LNC000149)
Source: RNAcentral
GAUAGUGUUCUUUCUUUUCUCAAGGUCACAAUAUUCCCAUUCUGCACCUUUUUUUUUUGCAUAAAUGAUAUUUAACAAGCAUUUGUAUAUAAACAAACCCACGUUAGUAAUUUCAUAUUUGUAUGUUUUCAAUACGUAUUGGAAUUGUUAAUUUGCAAAAGAAAAUAUUGGUUUUGGAGUCGAAUAGAAUAUAUGAAAAGUGAAUAAGAAAUUGGGCAUUAUUUCGAGAAGUGCAAUAUCAUAUUAAUAUUUUUAAUAACCAGCGUAUUCUUAAAUAAUUAUCUUUUGAUUCUUAAAGAAUGAGUUCUAAUUCUUAAAGAAUUAAGAAUGGCUGAAAAUGAUGGUUUGGGAUGAUGAAAUCUUGAUGGUAGACAAUUUUUUGCAGGUAGAUAGAUAACAUGCAAGGAUGACUAAUCAUUCUCAAUCGGAGAAACAACCAUCAACACCCAUACACAACCGAUCAUCAGCCAUCACCACUGUCAAAACACAACUCAUGUUCAUUAAUAUUUUGUGUAUAUUUUUUUAGAAUGAUUGUUUUUGUUUUAUAGUUUGUAUUCUUUCAGAUGCACUUUAUUCCUAAAAAAUAUCUCAUAUUUCUUUUCAAGAAUGUAUUUUAUUUCAACAAUAUUACUAGCAUUAAUUAAGUUUUUAAUUCUUAUUGAAUAUACUUGUAUCAAAAUUUGAGAAGAUAUUAACAUUAGUUUUAUUCUUUAAUAAUAUAUGUGCUUUGUGAAA